GAUUUACACUAGGGGUGUUUUUAACUGAGAUGGAAUCUAUCCAAACCCUUUGAACCUGAAUCUAGUUUAAACUAGCGUAGGAAAGUGUGAUGACGCUCUU
RNAcentral lists this non-coding RNA (100 nucleotides) under Staphylococcus capitis. RNAcentral describes it as "TPP sequence". It matches the Rfam family "TPP riboswitch aptamer (THI element)". From Rfam's summary of the family: Vitamin B(1) in its active form thiamin pyrophosphate (TPP) is an essential coenzyme that is synthesised by coupling of pyrimidine and thiazole moieties in bacteria. The previously detected thiamin-regulatory element, thi box was extended, resulting in a new, highly conserved RNA secondary structure, the THI element, which is widely distributed in eubacteria and also occurs in some archaea. Lineage: Bacteria; Bacillati; Bacillota; Bacilli; Caryophanales; Staphylococcaceae. The record is from RNAcentral.